UAUAAGGUUGGUGCAAAAGUAAUUGCGGUUUUUACCAUAACUUCCAAUGGCAAGAUCUGCAAUUAAUUUUGCUCCAACCUAAUA
RNAcentral lists this microRNA precursor (84 nucleotides) under Rhinopithecus bieti (black snub-nosed monkey). RNAcentral's name for it is "miRNA (ENSRBIG00000007854.1)". Lineage: Eukaryota; Metazoa; Chordata; Mammalia; Primates; Cercopithecidae. The record is from RNAcentral.